GGGAAUAUCUACAUGCUCAGGAAGAGGAGGUGAAUGUCACUUCUGGAACUCUGCACUAAUACUCUUCAUGUCCCACUUGCUCCUCCAGAAGGAGAUAAAGAGCAUUGGACACUGGACAAACAAUAUAAAUGGCAUGCCCCUGGUAGGCAAGCAAGCUACUUCCCGGGAAACACAGGGACUUCAAUUCAAAAAGCUGUUGUGCUUCUAAGCAUCUUACACUGGAGGAUGGGGUGAGAUUUCAAACCUGGUGCAGAGUUUUUUCAUGCUGGGCUGGAUUCAUCUACCCCUCAGUUUAGCAGAUACUUCACAAAAUUUCAACCCUUCUCAGCUGUGUGUGCAGGAAGCUAUUUCUCCAUACUUUCCUCAACAUUUGGUAAUAGCAAAGGGCAAAAGAUAUGUCUACAUUUCAAUGGAAAGGGGAGCACAUAUAUAGACAAGAUCGGCCAUUUGUUAAUCAUUUUUGAAGCUGGCUAUUGGAAAGCUUUUCUGCUGAAGACUUACUAACAUAGGAUCUGGUGUUUUAUUCCAAGUUAUCUCAAUUUUUAAAUUACUAAUGCUCGUUUCUGACCAGGAUGUGAAUCAUUGAAAGAAAAGAACAUUAAAAUAUUGGAAAAUCUCAUAUUGCACUGAAAACUUGAGGAGGAAGCUAGCUCUAUGGGACACAUUUUGAGGAAUUUCUGACAGAACGUUUUGCGAACAAGACUAAAGGAAGCCAGAGAGAGUCAUCGUGCAACAGCUUUGGGAGAAAGUAAUAUUCACUGGCAGGAAAAAGAGGAUCCUCUGCUUCCAGACUGUGGUUGACCCCAGGGAAAGAGAAACCAUGGAUAAGGGAGGACUGCUGUACGGAUUCAUUUCAGUCUUCAUGACAUCAUUUUAUGGAUGAGAAGAUCAAAGAACAGAGAGGUUAAACAAAUUGCACAAGUGUCCACAGCUUGUGACUGCAGAGCUGUGGCCAGAAAUCAGUCUGUAUACAGUCCUGCUCUUAACUACUUCACUGUACUAUUUCUCCAAAUAAAAUAAAAUAUG
Molecule: long non-coding RNA, 1026 nt
Organism: Panthera uncia (snow leopard)
Lineage: Eukaryota; Metazoa; Chordata; Mammalia; Carnivora; Felidae
Exons: 7
Source: RefSeq, a predicted model, not a curated record